Molecule: long non-coding RNA, 1701 nt
Organism: Mauremys mutica (yellowpond turtle)
Lineage: Eukaryota; Metazoa; Chordata; Testudines; Geoemydidae
Exons: 3
Source: RefSeq, a predicted model, not a curated record
GUGAGAUGGCUGCUAAAGAGACUGAAGGGCUAUUGGGAAGUGACCCUUCAACUGCAGAUUGGCAAGAAGCUGUCCAGAGUGGGAGAACCAGGAGAACACAUGGAAUCCCUGUCAAAACAAUGUCGUUAAGGAUGUAGCAAUAUUUGUUCCACCAUCAGUGGCUACUGAACCCACAAAAAACAUGCUCAACAACAGAAAAGUUUGACGCACAGAAUGUUGGAGAAUAUACAUGGAACGUGAAUUUCAAAAUUGAUUCUCCACAUCUGGAGGCUGAUAUUAAGCGCUAAGCUCAACCAAUCAAGGAACAGAAGUAAUACCACGGGCGCUACAUGGCCUAUCAAAUUGAAACAACACCUCUCAGAUAUUAAAUAUAAAGUACUUAAAUAUAAAGAACACGAUGGCCUAAAGAUUUGGCAAUAGUCUAGCCAAGGACAUAAGCAUGUGUUUAAUUUUACCCAAUCAAGUAUUUUAAAUUAAUUAAAUGGAGUGACUCACAUGCUUAAAGUUAAACCUGCUCUUACGUAUUUUGGUGGACUGAGGCUUUACAAGCUAAGAAUUCUUUGCUACAGGCAUUUAUCUGAUAAAUUAUAAUGGAGAAAAUCACAAGUCGCAAAGGAAAAGGCAUUGGAAAAAUUAUGACCUGUCUACUCUUCACUUAGCAUUGUCUAUUCUUUUCCACAGCUACUGUAGCUAGGAGAUUCGCUUGGUAUGAAUUUGUUGUACAAUAAUGCUGAGUCCAUCCAAAUACAACAUCUUCAGCCAGUCUUUUAAUGCAUAUUAUCUCUGCAAGAGCUCUUUCUCCUGACAGCUUGUUCAGUGUAGGAGGAGAGGACAGCAUGUCCAAGGUGGUGUUUAACAAUAUCACUGGUCUUUUCCCUCUCAGGUUGUCAUUUUUUGUGUGCAGGAGGAGUUCUUUCACAGGCCCAUUUGCUGGUGAUAUUAUACUGCCACAAAAGAAGUCUAGGAAACCUCAUGCAUCCCCAAAAUAGAUUAGACUGAUAUUCAAACAGCUAUGGGAACAGAAUAUGUUGCAGUAUUAGUGACAGUGCCAUUAUUAACGUUCCCUUUUGUCAUCUCUUAUUCAGGACUGUUGCAAUUCAGUUUAUUAAUAGCUGGCGGGACGCAAGUAAGACUUUAUUAAUGUACACAGGAGAGAAUGUGUGUAAAAUUUCAAUGGCAAGGGAGUGUGGUUAGAGGAAAAUCUCUUGUGUUUUUUUUUCUGUGGUGUAAUCACAGAGAGAAAAUUCACUUGAAUGCAUUCAAGUGAUAACACACACCAUUCUGGGGAGAAUUGCAAAAACAUCUUUGAAAGGAUGCUGUACCAAGACUAUACAAACCUUUUUAAGAAUGAGCAAACAACCAGUUUUUAGAGAUCUUCAAAAUGCAACACUUCCUAAGUUAUUGCUUUUUAACUUGUCUUGUAAGUGUCAUUUCAUCUUGAAUCAUCAUAGCUUACUAGGAAAGCAUUGUGGUGUAGGAGUUAAGGACUGUGUAGUAUGUGUUAAAAUUAUAUUUGUGGUGAUGUUCUGAACUAAUAUCUUAACUUCUCAUGAGUCCGGAUGACAUUUAUGAAUAAUUCAUUCAAGACACGGUAAACUGAACUACAGCAAUUUCUUCCCAAGAGUUAUAUGGGAGAGCUAUUGACAAUACAAAAACUGAUGUUAACAAAAGGACAGCAGCAGAGACAGGACUGAAGAUAGA